AAAAACAUAGCCUACUAUUUAACUUAGGUACAACCCUGCCCUCUGACUUUUAACAGCCGCGGUAUCCUAACCGUGCUAAGGUAGCAUAAUCACUUGCCUAUUAAUUAUAGGCUAGAAUGAACGGGAUCACUCACUUAAACUUAUUUUUAUUUAAAUUUAAAUUAAACUUUAAGUCAAAAUACUAAAUUAAAAAGAAAGACAAAAAGACCCUGAAAACUAUUAGAAAUAAUUAGUUGGGGCAACUAUAGACCACUCUAGCGUCUAUUUUUUUUAAACUCUUAAAAUCUAAAGUAUCCAGUUACUUCAGGGAUAACAGACUAAUUUUAUUAUUUAGACCCAAUAAAUAAUAAAGAUUGGCACCUCGAUGUUGGCUUAUAUUUCCUUCAUAUAGCAACAUAUAUAGAAGGCAGCUUGUUCAUCUGUUAAAUAUUUACAUGAGCUGAGUUCA
This 448-nucleotide ribosomal RNA is filed under the name Stygocapitella sp. 422_06. Its description in RNAcentral is "partial large subunit ribosomal RNA". It matches the Rfam family "Bacterial large subunit ribosomal RNA", at positions 1809 to 2613 of the family's 2925-position model. Lineage: Eukaryota; Metazoa; Annelida; Polychaeta; Parergodrilidae. The record is from RNAcentral.